CCUACGGGAGGCAGCAGUGGGGAAUAUUGGACAAUGGGCGAAAGCCUGAUCCAGCAAUGCCGCGUGAGUGAUGAAGGCCUUAGGGUUGUAAAGCUCUUUUACCCGGGAUGAUAAUGACAGUACCGGGAGAAUAAGCUCCGGCUAACUACGUGCCAGCAGCCGCGGUAAU
RNAcentral lists this ribosomal RNA (169 nucleotides) under uncultured bacterium. RNAcentral's name for it is "partial 16S ribosomal RNA". It matches the Rfam family "Bacterial small subunit ribosomal RNA", at positions 338 to 524 of the family's 1533-position model. The record is from RNAcentral.